GAUGAACGCUGGCGGCGUGCCUAAUACAUGCAAGUCGAGCGAACGGACGAGAAGCUUGCUUCUCUGAUGUUAGCGGCGGACGGGUGAGUAACAAGUGGAUAACCUACCUAUAAGACUGGGAUAACUUCGGGAAACCGGAGCUAAUACCGGAUAAUAUUUUGAACCGCAUGGUUCAAAAGUGAAAGACGGUCUUGCUGUCACUUAUAGAUGGAUCCGCGCUGCAUUAGCUAGUUGGUAAGGUAACGGCUUACCAAGGCAACGAUGCAUAGCCGACCUGAGAGGGUGAUCGGCCACACUGGAACGGAGACACGGUCCAGACUCCUACGGGAGGCAGCAGUAGGGAAGCUUCCGCAAUGGGCGAAAGCCUGACGGAGCAACGCCGCGUGAGUGAUGAAGGGCUUCGGAUCGUAAAACUCUGUUAUUAGGGAAGAACAUAUGUGUAAGUAACUGUGCACAUCGUGACGGUAACUAAUCAGAAAGCCACGGCUAACUACGUG
Molecule: ribosomal RNA, 497 nt
Filed under: uncultured bacterium
Lineage: Bacteria
Description: partial 16S ribosomal RNA
Rfam family: Bacterial small subunit ribosomal RNA
Source: RNAcentral